This is a long non-coding RNA of Chinchilla lanigera (long-tailed chinchilla), 886 nucleotides long. RefSeq lists it as uncharacterized. The transcript is spliced from 3 exons. The record is from RefSeq and is a predicted model, not a curated record. NCBI's taxonomy places the organism in Eukaryota, Metazoa, Chordata, Mammalia, Rodentia, Chinchillidae.
CUGCUUUUCUUUUUUAAUUUCAUUUUUAUGCAGGAAAAUGAUGUCACCGCUCGUUUCUUAGACACUGGACAAGUGGACAAGUCCAUGUCAUGGCCCACACCAGGAACCAGGCUUAAAAGGACCUGAAGUACAGUAAAGAAUAUUUAAUGACAGUAGACACUCAUCUCACACCAAAUGUUAAAAAACAUGAUUGUGAACUUUGAAGACCCAGGGCUCUACCAAAAGAAUCCUGCUCAGCCUGGCUUGAUCUGUCACUACAGAGUUAUCACAGGUCACAAGGUCACUUUUUAGGUUAAUAUGCUCAUCUCAAACCUUCCACAAUUGUGUGUGAUAUACACAGUCGACAUACUUCAUAUAUACAACAUGGAUAGAUCAACAGACUUCAAACUUGGGAGAACAGGUCCACUGUUCCAAAAUGCAAACCUUCCUUCUGUUCGGAAUUAAGAUAUUCAACCUCCUUAUCCUGGUGUAUGUUUUUCCCGAGUCCAUCUGUUUAGUUAGUGUAUGACCUUCAAGUGCUCUACUUUAUUUAGGGGCCACAGCUCCAAAGCUGUGCUUCACAUACACUCAAGACUUGCUCUCCUAUGAUUAUGAAGGAACAAAAAUUCAGGAGCCUGAGUUCUAGAGAUCAGCAAGUCUAUUCUCCAUCACUGGGGAAUCAGUUACGUGCUUACAGGACUGGCCUUCAGUUUCCUCUGAGUUUGGCUGUGUGGAUUUCCCUCAAUUUCUUGUAGGUUUACUUUUAAAAGGAUUCACAUCCUAACUUGAAUUUCUGGAUAUCUUUUUGUGAAAUAAAAUCUUUCACCUGAAAAGAACUGUAAGCCACAUGGUUUUAUAAAAGACAAUGUCACCAGUGUGGUGGCUUAUGUCUGUAAUCUCCAUAGUC